This 497-nucleotide ribosomal RNA is filed under the name uncultured bacterium. RNAcentral describes it as "partial 16S ribosomal RNA". It matches the Rfam family "Bacterial small subunit ribosomal RNA", at positions 28 to 507 of the family's 1533-position model. The record is from RNAcentral.
GAUGAACGCUGGCGGCGUGCCUAAUACAUGCAAGUCGAGCGAACAGACGAGGAGCUUGCUCCUCUGACGUUAGCGGCGGACGGGUGAGUAACACGUGGAUAACCUACCUAUAAGUCUGGGAUAACUUCGGGAAACCGGGGCUAAUACCGGAUAAUAUAUUGAACCGCAUGGUUCAAUAGUGAAAGACGGUUUUGCUGUCACUUAUAGAUGGAUCCGCGCCGCAUUAGCUAGUUGGUAAGGUAACGGCUUACCAAGGCGACGAUGCGUAGCCGACCUGAGAGGGUGAUCGGCCACACUGGAACUGAGACACGGUCCAGACUCCUACGGGAGGCAGCAGUAGGGAAUCUUCCGCAAUGGGCGCAAGCCUGACGGAGCAACGCCGCGUGAGUGAUGAAGGUCUUCGGAUCGUAAAACUCUGUUAUUAGGGAAGAACAAAUGUGUAAGUAAAUAUGCACGUCUUGACGGUACCUAAUCAGAAAGCAACGGCUAACUACGUG